Molecule: ribosomal RNA, 253 nt
Filed under: uncultured bacterium
Lineage: Bacteria
Description: partial 16S ribosomal RNA
Rfam family: Bacterial small subunit ribosomal RNA
Source: RNAcentral
UACGGAGGGUGCGAGCGUUGCUCGGAAUGACUGGGCGUAAAGGGCGCGUAGGCGGCUUUGUAAGUUAGAGGUGAAAGCCUGGAGCUCAACUCCAGAAUUGCCUUUAAGACUGCAUCGCUUGAAUCCGGGAGAGGUGAGUGGAAUUCCGAGUGUAGAGGUGAAAUUCGUAGAUAUUCGGAAGAACACCAGUGGCGAAGGCGGCUCACUGGACCGGUAUUGACGCUGAGGUGCGAAAGCGUGGGGAGCAAACAGG